This 72-nucleotide transfer RNA is filed under the name Ornithorhynchus anatinus (platypus). It matches the Rfam family "tRNA". From Rfam's summary of the family: Transfer RNA (tRNA) molecules are approximately 80 nucleotides in length. Lineage: Eukaryota; Metazoa; Chordata; Mammalia; Monotremata; Ornithorhynchidae. The record is from Rfam by way of RNAcentral.
AGCAGCGUGGCUCAGUGGAAGGAGCCUGGGCUGGGGAGCCAGAGGUCAUGGGUUCAAAUCCCACUUCUGCCA